This 2297-nucleotide ribosomal RNA is filed under the name human gut metagenome. Its description in RNAcentral is "bacterial LSU rRNA". It matches the Rfam family "Bacterial large subunit ribosomal RNA", at positions 14 to 2322 of the family's 2925-position model. The record is from RNAcentral.
AGGGCGUACGGCGGAUGCCUUGGCCAUAUCAGCCGAUGAAGGACGCGAUAAGCUGCGAUAAGCUGCGGUGAGGUGCAAGUAACCUUUGACCCGCAGAUCUCCGAAUGGGGAAACCCGGCGUGAGUAGUCACGUCAUCCUCUAUGAGGAUGGGUACCCGGUGAACUGAAACAUCUAAGUAGCCGGAGGAAAAGGAAUCAACAGAGAUACCCCUAGUAGCGGCGAGCGAACGGGGCAGAGCCCAAACCGGAUUGGGAAACCAGUCCGGGGUUGCGGACUGCUAACAAGUGCAGGCGUGAAGCAGAACCGGUUGGGAAACCGGGCCAGAGAGAGUGAGAGCCUCGUAAGCGCAAGCAAAUGCAUGGAGCAGGAUCCAGAGUACCACGAGACACGAGAAACCUUGUGGGAAGCAGGGGGGACCACCCUCCAAGGCGAAACACUGAUAUGGACCGAUAGCGAAUAGUACCGUGAGGGAACGGUGAAAAGAACCCCGGGAGGGGAAUGAAAGAGAACCUGAAACCGUAUGUCUACAAGCAGUCGAAGCGCUUUAUAUGCGCGACGGCGUGCCUAUUGAAGAAUGAACCGGCGAGUUGCUGGUGCUAGCGAGGUUAAGCAGAAAAUGCGGAGCCGCAGCGAAAGCGAGUCUGAACAGGGCGUAUAGUUAGUAACAGCAGACCCGAAACCACAGUGAUCUACCCAUGUCCAGGUUGAAGCACAGGUAAAAAUGUGUGGAGGACCGAACCAGUGAGCGUUGAAAAGCUUUUGGAUGAGAUGUGGGUAGGGGUGAAAUGCCAAUCGAACGUGGAGAUAGCUGGUUCUCCCCGAAAUAGCUUUAGGGCUAGCCUCAUGGCGAGAGUACAGGCGGUAGAGCACUGAACAGGGUAGGGGCCUAUCCGGCUACUGAACCUAAUCAAACUACGAAUGGCUGUACUUAUCCAUGGGAGUCAGACUGUGAGUAAUAAGGCCCAUAGUCAAGAGGGAAACAGCCCAGACCAACAGCUAAGGUCCCCAAUGCCGUACUAAGUGGCGAAGGAUGUGGAAUUUCAAAAACAACCAGGAUGUUGGCUCAGAAGCAGCCACCAUUAAAAGAGUGCGUAAUAGCUCACUGGUCGAGAGACUCUGCGCCGAAGAUGUCCGGGGCUAAAGUACGGAACCGAAGCUUUGGCAAUUAACUUAAGUUAAUUGGGUAGGGGAGCGUUCCUGCAUGGGAGAAGCCUGACCGGAAGGACAGGUGGACAGGCAGGAAGAGAGAAUGCCGGUAUGAGUAGCGAAAAGAAGGGUGAGAAUCCCUUCCACCGAAAGCCUAAGGGUUCCUGGGCAACGAUCGUCGUCCCAGGGUAAGUCGGGACCUAAUCCGAGGCGGAGACGCGCAGGAGAUGGACAACAGGUUGAAAUUCCUGUACUGGCUGAUUCCGUUUGAGCAAGGGAGUGACACAGGAAGGAAGGCGCGCGUGCGAUUGGAAGAGCACGUCCAAGCAGGUAGGUGGGAAGACAGGCAAAUCCGUCUUUCCGAAAGCUGAGAUGCGAUGGGGAGCGUCUGGAAACAGACGCGAAGGGGCUGGCACUAAACUGUCGAGAAAAGCUUCUAGUGAGGAAUCAGGCACCCGUACCGAAACCGACACAGGUAGGCAGGAUGAGAAUUCUAAGGUGCGCGGGAAAACCCUCGUUAAGGAACUCGGCAAAAUGUAUCCGUAACUUCGGGAAAAGGAUAACCCGGCGUACGUGAAGUGCAGAAGCGCACGGAGCGGAACCGGGUGGCAGAAGAGAGGCCCAAGCGACUGUUUACCACAAACACAGGCGUCUGCUAAAGCGAAAGCUGAUGUAUAGAUGCUGACACCUGCCCGGUGCUGGAAGGUUAAGAGGAAGUGUUAGCGCAAGCGAAGCAGUGAAUUGAAGCCCCAGUAAACGGCGGCCGUAACUAUAACGGUCCUAAGGUAGCGAAAUUCCUUGUCGGGUAAGUUCCGACCCGCACGAAAGGUGUAACGAUUUGGGCACUGUCUCAACGAGGGACCCGGUGAAAUUGAAGUACCUGUGAAGAUGCAGGUUACCCGCGACUGGACAGAAAGACCCCAUGGAGCUUUACUGUAACCUGAGAUUGGAUUCCGGUAAGAGAUGUACAGGAUAGUUGGGAGACGUAGAAGCAAGUACGCCAGUAUUUGCAGAGUCAAUGGUGGGAUACCAACCUUGUUUUAUUGGAAUUCUAACGAGAAGCCUAACAAGCUUGCGGACAGUCUCAGGCGGGCAGUUUGACUGGGGCGGUCGCCUCCGAAAGAGUAACGGAGGCGCCCAAAGGUUCCCU